UGGGGAAUAUUGGACAAUGGGCGAAAGCCUGAUCCAGCCAUGCCGCGUGUGUGAAGAAGGUCUUCGGAUUGUAAAGCACUUUAAGUUGGGAGGAAGGGCAGUAAGCGAAUACCUUGCUGUUUUGACGUUACCGACAGAAUAAGCACCGGCUAACUCUGUGCCAGCAGCCGCGGUAAUACAGAGGGUGCAAGCGUUAAUCGGAAUUACUGGGCGUAAAGCGCGCGUAGGUGGUUCGUUAAGUUGAAUGUGAAAGCCCCGGGCUCAACCUGGGAACUGCAUCCAAAACUGGCGGGCUAGAGUAGGGCAGAGGGUGGUGGAAUUACCUGUGUAGCGGUGAAAUGCGUAGAUAUAGGAAGGAACACCAGUGGCGAAGGCGACCACCUGGGCUCAUACUGACACUGAGGUGCGAAAGCGUGGGGAGCAAACAGG
RNAcentral lists this ribosomal RNA (429 nucleotides) under Pseudomonadota bacterium. Its description in RNAcentral is "Proteobacteria bacterium partial 16S ribosomal RNA". It matches the Rfam family "Bacterial small subunit ribosomal RNA", at positions 355 to 776 of the family's 1533-position model. The record is from RNAcentral. Lineage: Bacteria; Pseudomonadati; Pseudomonadota.